RNAcentral lists this ribosomal RNA (473 nucleotides) under uncultured bacterium. RNAcentral describes it as "bacterial SSU rRNA". It matches the Rfam family "Bacterial small subunit ribosomal RNA", at positions 165 to 671 of the family's 1533-position model. The record is from RNAcentral.
UAUACCGUAUGAUGCGCACAUGCCAAAGAUUUAUCGCCUUGGGAUAAGCCCGCGUCAGAUUAGGUAGUUGGUGGGGUAAUGGCCUACCAAGCCUGUGAUCUGUAGCUGGUCUGAGAGGACGAUCAGCCACAUUGGGACUGAGACACGGCCCAAACUCCUACGGGAGGCAGCAGUGGGGAAUCUUGCGCAAUGGACGAAAGUCUGACGCAGCCAUGCCGCGUGAAUGAUGAAGGUCUUAGGAUUGUAAAGUUCUUUAGCCUGUGACGAUGAUGACGGUAACAGGAGAAUAAGCCCCGGCUAACUUCGUGCCAGCAGCCGCGGUAAUACGAAGGGGGCUAGCGUUGUUCGGAAUUACUGGGCGUAAAGCGCGCGUAGGCGGUUUUACAAGCCAGAGGUGAAAUGCCUGAGCUCAACUUAGGAAUUGCCUUUGGAACUGUAUGGCUUUGAGGACGAGAGAGGUGAGUGGAAUUCCC